CGCCCCCUUCCCUCCGGCUAGAUUCUCCACUCCCGGACUCUACCGCACGCUCGCAACCCCACCCCGUGGCUAGGGUUUCGGGCAGGCCUUCGCCGGCGCGUCUCCGGCGACCCCAGAUGCAGAUGGAGCACGCCGUGAGAUUUCCCCAUCCACCAUGGUCGCCACCGUCAAGGGCUUCUUCACGGAUCUGGGACGCCAUGGACAUGCAGCUCCUCAAGGACUUUCUAUUGAAACAUCUUGUCCAUCAUGUGUAGAACACGAUGCACCGUUAAGUCAAGGUUCAGGACGACAUAUAUCGUAGCCCCAUGCUGGCUUUUUUCCAAUGCAGGACCUUCUACAUCUCUGCAUAUCGAUCCAUCUUGGACCUCAGUAGAAGAUUCAUCAUUUUAGUGUCCAUCUGAAGAAUCACAUCGUGAUAGGAACAAGGACAAUGGCUGGCAUGUUGGUAGGAAUCUGAGAUGAUAAAAAAUAGUACUCAUCCAACUGCUUACUAAAUAUGCUGGAAAUUAGCUCAUAGUUACACAUAUAUUAUUAUUGGAGCAGUACUGUCCUAGACUUGCAUAUUCAGAAUUAAUUGAUCUCACACAGUAGUGCCAUUUGUCGACACACCGUAUGAUAUAUGAAUAAAACCAUAAAAGUGUAUAUGAAACUGUAUAAUCUGGCACUUUGUUUCAUGCCUACAGCAAUGCGAUGUCCCUUUUAUGUUAUCA
Triticum urartu is the source of this 710-nucleotide long non-coding RNA. RefSeq lists it as uncharacterized. Lineage: Eukaryota; Viridiplantae; Streptophyta; Magnoliopsida; Poales; Poaceae. The record is from RefSeq and is a predicted model, not a curated record.